UACGGAGGGUGCGAGCAUUAAUCGGAUUUAUUGGGCGUAAAGGGCGCGUAGGCGGCUAAGAAAGUCAGAUGUGAAAUCCCGGGGCUCAACCCCGGAACUGCAUUUGAAACUUCUUAGCUAGAGGUUGGGAGGAGAGAAUGGAAUUCCACAAGUAGCGGUGAAAUGCGUAGAUAUGUGGAAGAACACCAGUGGCGAAGGCGGUUCUCUAUCUUAAUCCUGACGCUGAGGCGCGAAAGCAAGGGGAUCAAACAGG
This 253-nucleotide ribosomal RNA is filed under the name uncultured bacterium. RNAcentral's name for it is "partial 16S ribosomal RNA". It matches the Rfam family "Bacterial small subunit ribosomal RNA", at positions 524 to 776 of the family's 1533-position model. The record is from RNAcentral.